RNAcentral lists this ribosomal RNA (375 nucleotides) under uncultured bacterium. Its description in RNAcentral is "bacterial SSU rRNA". It matches the Rfam family "Bacterial small subunit ribosomal RNA", at positions 524 to 898 of the family's 1533-position model. The record is from RNAcentral.
UACGGAGGGUGCAAGCGUUAAUCGGAAUUACUGGGCGUAAAGCGCACGCAGGCGGUCUGUCAAGUCGGAUGUGAAAUCCCCGGGCUCAACCUGGGAACUGCAUUCGAAACUGGCAGGCUAGAGUCUUGUAGAGGGGGGUAGAAUUCCAGGUGUAGCGGUGAAAUGCGUAGAGAUCUGGAGGAAUACCGGUUGCGAAGGCGGCCCCCUGGACAAAGACUGACGCUCAGGUGCGAAAGCGUGGGGAGCAAACAGGAUUAGAUACCCUGGUAGUCCACGCCGUAAACGAUGUCGAUUGGGAGGUUGUGGCCUUGAGGCGUGGCUUCCGGAGCUAACGCGUUAAAUCGACCGCCUGGGGAGUACGGCCGCAAGGUUAAA